UCAAACUGAACAAUAGAGUAUUGAGUAUUAGUGGGAAUAAGAAAUGCAUUGCUCUUUAAAGCAGCAGCCUCACUUCCAUCUGCAUCAGUACAGGAUACUGAGAGGCUUGGUAGCAUUCCACUUGUAGGAAGCACACAGAAAAAUAAUUGAAUAUAGAAAAGAGGGUCUAGUGUCAAUGACGAUUAGUAGAAAAAAUGUAGUUACAAUCCCAGCCUUUUGACUAAAUGAUUAAUAUGUUGAGCUGAUGAAGUAGACAAGUGGCUGCUGUAGGUAGAAGUAAUGUUGGAACAAAUAAUACGUCCCAGAAUAGUUUCUGUAAGGCUGAUUUUACUCUGAAAUUUUAAUUAAUUUAUA
Molecule: long non-coding RNA, 354 nt
Filed under: Pan troglodytes (chimpanzee)
Lineage: Eukaryota; Metazoa; Chordata; Mammalia; Primates; Hominidae
Description: long non-coding RNA NONPTRT013661
Source: RNAcentral